AUGCACGCUGGCGGCGUGCCUAACACAUGCAAGUCGAACGGAGUCCAGCCUUAGAGACCUUCGGGUCAAAGAGGGGAAGACUGAGUGGCGGACGGGUGAGUAACACGUGGGCAACCUGGCUCAUAGAGGGGGAUAACAGAGAGAAAUUUCUGCUAAUACCGCAUAAGCACACACUGCCGCAUGGCAGAGUGUGAAAAGAGAAUCGCUAUGAGAUGGACCCGCGUCUGAUUAGCCAGUUGGCAGGGUAAGAGCCUACCAAAGCGACGAUCAGUAGCCGAUUUGAGAGGAUGAACGGCCACAUUGGGACUGAGACACGGCCCAAACUCCUACGGGAGGCAGCAGUGGGGGAUAUUGCACAAUGGGGGGAACCCUGAUGCAGCGACGCCGCGUGAGUGAAGAAGUAUUUCGGUAUGUAAAGCUCUAUCAGCAGGGAAGAUAAUGACAGUACCUGAAUAAGAAGCCCCGGCUAACUACGUG
Molecule: ribosomal RNA, 477 nt
Filed under: uncultured bacterium
Lineage: Bacteria
Description: partial 16S ribosomal RNA
Rfam family: Bacterial small subunit ribosomal RNA
Source: RNAcentral